AUUGCACGCACAGUGACCUGUGCAACUCGAGGAAGGGGAACCUCCUCAACAACGUUUCUCUUAAGCCACCUAUUGUCGGGAGCAUACAAAUCAGCCUGAGCAACAUUAAAAGACUCAGCAAAGAUGGACAGCAUGUGGCAACAAGGCAGAGACGUUUGACAAAAGAACAGGACAAAGGACAACCACUAACACGGAACACCAAAAGCAUCAAAACAGUCAAAGCCAUCAACAACAGGAACAGGGAAGGACGCAUGAUCUUCAAGCAUCAACUGCACAGCAUGUGCUGAAAAAAUGGAAUACACCAAACACUGCCAUCUAGGAUUCGUGUCACGAAAGUGAAAAGACGACAUUAUUUCAACUGCUGAGGCAGUCCUGGCGUCAAACUGCAGAGUGAGUGCUGAGACAGCUUGUUUACCGCCAUUGACAUAAGAAGUGUUGGUGUUCAGAAUCUCUUUCAGCCUUCUGUUUUCCCCCUCAGCCUGGCAAGAACUGCCUCAGUCCGGUGGUGUCUUGCUUCUGACCCCACAAUUGCACACACAGUGACCGGUGCAACUUGAGGAAGGGGAACAUCCUCAACAACGUUUCUCUUAAGCCACCUAUUGUCAGGAGCAUACAAGUCAGCCUGAGCAACAUUAAAAGACUCAGCAAAGAUCAGCCUUCUGUUUUCCCCCUCAGCCUGGCAAGAACUGCCUCAGUCCGGUGGUGUCUUGCUUCUGGUCCCACAAUUGAACGCACAGUGACCGGUGCAACUCGAGGAAGGGGAACAUCCUCAACAACGUUUCUCUUAAGCCACCUAUUGUCAGGAGCAUACAAGUCAGCCUGAGCAACAUUAAAAGACUCAGCAAAGAUGGACAGCAUGUGGCAACAAGGCAGAGACGUUUGACAAAAGAACAGGACAAAGGACAACCACUAACACGGAACACCAAAAGCAUCAAGACAGUCAAAGCCAUCAACAACAGGAACAGGGAAGGACGCAUGAUCUUCAAGCAUCAACUGCACAGCAUGUGCUAAAAAAAAUAGAAUACACCAAACACUGCCAUGUAGGAUUCGUGUCACGAAAGUGAAAAGACGUCAUUAUUUCAACUGCUGAGGCAGUCCUGGCGUCAAACUGCAGAGUAAGUGAGUGCUGAGACAGCUUCUUUUCCGCCAUUGACGUAAGAAGUGUUUCUGUUCAGAAUCUCUUUCAGCCUUCUGUUUCCCCCCCCUCACACUUUGUUGUUUGUGUCAUUGAGGUAAAGACGACUGUGGAGGCGGGCGUGGUAUGUUUGUGUCAUUGAGGUAAAGACGACUGUGGAGGCGGGCAUGGUAUGUUUGUGUCAUUGAGGUAAAGACGACUGUGGAGGCGGGCAUGGUAUGCCCAAAUGUCAAUACAAUUAAGCCAGUGGUUGGCAAUGUAAUCGUAAAAAACAUGGGACAAAGACAUAAUUUCAGUCACAUUUUUGUUAAAUGUAGCAAUGUCGUUCGUGGUGACAAGGAGUUCAAGGACAUGGGCCAGCUGCUGCAGGCGGUCCUUCACCUCUUUUGAGCAUUGCAGCUUCUGUAGCCUCGCUUUCAUAGCCUUGUGCACAAGUUCUCAGUGGUCAGAGCCUCUUUCAAUUAUUCCGAGUUCCCAGUGUCCUUCACGAUAUUGACCACGGUGGUAUUUUCGAUGCAUGAUAUUUUGAUUCAUCAAUCUCGACAGUUUUGUUUGGACCACCGAGUUGAAGAGGAUGACCGAUGAGAUAUUGGGCACAAAUAUCGCUGACAAAAUUUUGCCAAUCUACUACAGUUUUGGGGGGUGAGGUUUAAUUCAUCAAUUACGUACACUUGUCGAAGAUCUUUGGAUCAUAAAUAGAUUAAAUCCAACAGGAAGUAAAGUUGGCUCGUCCCUACUUUCCACUGGGAACAGUAAAAUAGGAUUAGACCUACGUUCCACAAUGCCAAAGAUCUACACUCUCUGCCCACGUGGCUGCCCUUUAUUGUUCUUUACUUUGGUACCAGAUAGAGAUUCGUAAAUCUCUACUGCGCCACUGGAUUUAAUUGUCUGGUAAUAUUACUGUCGUUCUACUACACUUCGGCUUUUGCCCCAAAGCCCCAAUAAUCCAGCUCAAAGAACACACUAACACACACUACUGGAAGGGUGGAGGGCCCCGAAUGUCCUUACAUUGGUCAGAAACAAACUGACGGAUGAUGUUGUAGAGAUAGGUCUGCCCGUCCCUGGAGAGCCCUGGCGAACACAACACAGGAGGAAGAGUCGCACCGGAAGCCGUAAUGGCAGGGUUCAACACAAACCCCUCCUCCUCCACCUCACCCUCCACACUCUCUUUGCUGCUACAUAUCCUGGCUUCUCUCCUGAAAUGAAGAAGUGCUGAAGUUUCUUGGUACCAGGAAAGGACUUGGACCACGGCUUGAAAAAGGCCUGCCUGUCGUAGGUGGGAAUAUACAGGGUGCCGUCCUCCUCCCCAACAAGCUGGGCCCUGUUGAUUCUUUUCCUGGUAGAACUGUCCACCACUGACUUAAAUUCCCGGAGAGAAUUGACACUGUGGCGUCUGAAACUCUUUUUGAGGAUCCCAAAACACCAGUCUGGGGCAAACUUGGUGUGUCCCGGGAGCAAAAAGUGAAGACUCACUGACGUGUGCUGGCCGGCCAGAACUCGCCAGACAAGGUACUGCAAGAAGAACUGAUUCUUGUUCUGUCCAGCACUGUUGUCGCAGUGUGGGUGCACGACACGUGCUGUUCCCCCAAGCUAAAAUGAGUAAAGAAGUAGUGCAGGUAAGAUAUCACUGCAUUACUCCCCUUACUGGCACACAGACCUUCAUCAACCAAGAAGUUGAUUUGCUGGGGGAUGACCUCGCAGUUGACCCCAAAGAUGCUGCAUUUACGGGGAACCAAAAAGUAGAUAGGCCCUGGCUGCAGGGGGUCAUGUGGAAGGUGCACCUGCUGAGCGUAGUCAAAUGAAUAGUGCAUGGCUAUGAUGUCACUAUGUCCCGGCUGUUCUGCUCUUAGGGAGCGAGAGUGGAGAUGCCUUGAGAGGCAGCUGCUAGCCGUGCACUAUCCACAAGACUGUUUGUAAUAACUACGCUCCUGCGUCUCACCGAACUGUUGUCCCUGGAGGUCUAGAAGGUCGCUCUUCUCCUCCACCGACAGUUGCAAAAUUUCAUGUAAUUUUAAAUGAGAGUUGAAAAAAUAUGAGUCUUUUCUCAAAGACAUUUUGACACUCUUAUGAGCUAUACAGCGAAAAACUUUCUCCCCCCCCCCGGAUUUUUCCGAGUUACCACGGGUACUGAUUGCCUGCUGCUUUUGGCUCUUUUUACAGUAGGCCUGCUUUUUUUUCCCGCUCUUUCAAAAAUCUUUUUCUUUCUGUUCUCUCGCUUUCUCUAACACCUCAUCUGAUGUCAAAAUUCAAUGAUUUUAAUGUGGCCUGGGUGGUUUUGGUUGGCGUGAUAGAUCUAUCUGAGAAGAGGGAGGCCCAUUGACCCCAAGAAUAAUGUCCAUUGAGCUCACCCAGAACAUCAGUAUUGUUGGAGCAGUAGGACAUGCUAGGGUCAUGGCCACAUUUAUGCAUAUUUUUUCAACAUUUUGUUACAAUGACAAAAUUACAUGAAUUAUAGGAAAAAUGUACAGGCGUGUAUUUCUACAUAAGAAAGAGCAUUUCCGGUGAAUAGUACAUCUCACUCAAAAGCUCACUGUGGUGCAAGUCAGUUUUGGAGCAGUUGGAAAUGCUAGGGCCAUGGCCACAUUUGUAUAUAUAUGCAUAUUCUUUCAACAUUUUAUGUUACAACGACAAAAUUUCCUGAAUGAUAGGAAACAGCGCAUCGGUUUUGGAAUGUACGGUCGUACUUCUAAUUCUAAAAAAGCGAUGUCUAAUUUUGUCGGUGGUGUGGGCGUGUUGAGUGUAAGGAUCCACGUGUUGGUACAGAUUUCCUUGCCAUCUCUCGCCACACUCUGAUAUGACGAGCAUGGACAAUUCCAUCAACCUCCGGGACCAUCUCUUCUUCCGUACAGCCACUGAGCUCUCGGCUUUUGAUGACAGCCCUGGAUGUGAUCAGACUUCUGUGAGGUUGAACACACAGGGAUGCCACCAAACAAGGUGCAGGCCAACAGUUUGCCUGAUUCUACACCGAAACUGACCUGUAUCAGGAGGUCCGUGAGUCCUAGUUUUUUUUUAAUGUAUUUUGGUUUGUGUAUCCCGAAACGUUUUAGGGACUUGUGUAUCUUAAAAACGCUUAGUGUGGUUAGAUUUGUAUCUUGUUUUUCAUCUUUUGGGGAGAUCACCAAGAAUGGUGACCACCCCAACGAUGUUCUUUUAGGUAAGUCCCAGAUGCUGACAUAGUGAGCAUGUUAGCCCGAAAGGCCUUUCAUUCUCUUGCCCAGGCCAGGAGUUGCACCUGCUUCUCUUGUCUGGGACUUGUUGGGAGUCCAACAAAUGGCACCGCUCGGAAGCCCAUUGCUGAUGUCAGGGUUACCCUGGGGGUAUACUCCCAAUCGGUUGGCAAGAAAUCUCGCCAUCCAACCAAGAUUGGCCAAAAAACCGGUUCGAUGAACCGGCCAUUAUAACCGGUUGAGUGCAGUAGGCCACUACGCCCGCCCGAAUCCAGGGCCAAAGUGCCGUGUUGGUGAGGGAAGCCACCAGGAUCCCAUUCUCCGGUCGUACGGGUCGCACCCCAUGGUCAAUAAAUUCGUAAAAAUUGAAGUUGAUUUUCUAAUUUCAUACUCUGUUAUAAUACGAUCAUUCUUUCCCGUCUUACAAUUAAUAACCGUAUAACGGUCACAUAAAAAUCUCGGGAGUCUUUUCCCUACAUAAAUACUUUCCUUAGACAAAUUCCUACUAUAUCCAUUUUUAUGUUGUUUAAAUUUUCUUGUAUGUUCUUACAAAAAAAUUAUUUUUUUUUGAUUUGAUAAAAAUCUAAAAAAUCUUUUUGCUGACUGUCAUAUGUCGGUCUUGUUCUAGUUUAAUUUCCUUUACAUUUUUUUAGGACUAUUUGAUUUUAAUACAGCUUCUAAACAACAUGAUAAAUUUUUUCCUGAUAAGUGCUAUUCAGACAUUUUUUUCUUUUGUCCCGUCUAAGCACCAGAAGCCGACUCGUCUAGGGGUAAAAAUACUCUACGGCACUGACAUGCUGUAAAACGCCAAAGUUUCUCUUCAUAGACAAACUCAAAUGUAUGUCCAUUCUGAUCCCAAUUAUGACCGGGGAUCAACGGUAUGGCAAAUAUUUCAUCUCUCCACAAAAGAUAAGCAAUCUCUUCACUCCUAUAUAACGGCAAUGGAAUUGCCAUCAAAGGACUUGCUGCUUCCUACUAUAUCCAUUUUUAUGUUGUGUAAAUUUUCUUGUAUGUUCUUCCCAUCCAUGAUUUCCCUGCUAAAGUAAGACGAGCAGGAGACAGUUCAUGGCAUAUUGUAUGCAUUACAUCAAAACCACACGCUCUCCGGGAUUCCUGGCCGUGCAGACAUGGCUCGCCUUCCUUUUAUUUCCGUAAAGCGCCCGGAAGGUGUGAGAAGAAGCACGGGACCCAGCUCCGAAAGUCUGCGGCGCUUCCCUGCUGCUUGUUGUUCCUCCGGUGAGUUCCGAAGCAAUGUCCUCUAGGAAGUCUUGAAAUUACAAGUCUGGACUGGUGUCUGCGGUGCAGCGGCUAAAAGUUUCACUGCCGCAAGCAGAAUACUUGAAAAAACUCGAGAAAUGCAUUCCCUAUACUUGCCAUUUGUUCCUGUUACACUUUCCUUUUUUAUUUUACAAAGUGAGAGUUUCUUUAGAAUAAAUUUUGCAUGAUGUAGGUGUAUAUUUUGCUUCACUUUACACAAAAAAAGAGUUUGUAAAAAAUUUCAAAUUACGUUUACGAUAAAAAGGCGAUGGAACAUGGAAACAUCAACAUUUUGUGAGAGAAAAAAGUAUUUGAAUGUCCUACCUGUUAGCAUGUGCUUGAUGGUAAAUUAUUUACAUUGUUCAUUCCCAAGCCGUCUCAUAUACAGUUGGUUCUCAAUGCGAAAGAUCUAUCCAUAGUGUGGAUCUUGUUCUCUCUGUAAACGUCGUAGCACCCACAUAUAUAUAUAUAUCCGAUCAACAGCAGCCGAUAAAAAAAAAAGGCAGUGCUGCAGUAUAUUUCAAAUCAUGAUACAUUCAUGAAAAUUUUUUUUAAACAUGUAUAUAUAUAUAUAUGUGUGGCUGUCAUGUCUCUUGCUGUGUCAGGGCUUUUGUGUUCCUGAAUGGCACAUUCUCUGAGCCAAGUCGGGUUCUCCUUGCUGAAGGCUGUAUGCUGGCCGUGGCAACUCCAGUUCAGGAUGCCCGGUCUUGCUGCAGCGAGGACACACGACUGCGUGUCGAAAAGUCGGCAUCGCGACUGACUAUGGCCAAACUGACUGGGAGCAGCGCAGAGGGUUUGGCACAUAGGAUAGGGUCGCACGUCCAGGACCAAGUAUGAUGCCAAAACGGUGGCUGGAGGGCGGAACGGAUCAAAAGUGAGUAUGAUUGUGAUUGUUUUGAGGGUGUGUACCCCCGCCGGAGAGUAAACGGACGGGCUCCGACCACACUCUCGCAGUUAGCCACAAUUUCCUCUUUUGAGCAGCCCUUCAGCUCAUGGCUGCGGGCCACGCCCCUCAACUGGUUAAACUUCUGGUGUCGCUCGGAUACACAAGGAAUAACACCGAAUCUCGUCAUCUUUUCCAGUCCGGCCAGUUCUUUUUCCCAAUGGACACUUGAUGAGUGCACCAGAGAACAGCUUGUGGACAUUCGUGGGAAUGUAUCCCAAAACCUGUCUUUGUACAUCACUAGUCUUGAAAAAAAAUUUUGGGAUCUUUUGUGUACAACAUUCUACUUAUUGAUCAACCGAUCACUCUGUUCAUAAAGGAGUUGUAAUCAUUUUUCUUUCUUUCUUUUCUCUUUAAAAAAAAA
Aplysia californica (California sea hare) is the source of this 6866-nucleotide long non-coding RNA. RefSeq lists it as uncharacterized. NCBI's taxonomy places the organism in Eukaryota, Metazoa, Mollusca, Gastropoda, Aplysiida, Aplysiidae. The transcript is spliced from 3 exons. The record is from RefSeq and is a predicted model, not a curated record.